UUGACCUCAAAUCAUGGGGGAAUACCCGCUGAACUUAAGCAUAUCAAUAAGCGGAGGAAAAGAAACUAACAAGGAUUCCCCUAGUAACUGCGAGUGAAGCGGGAUGAGCUCAAAUUUAAAAUCUGGCGGUCUCUGGCCGUCCGAGUUGUAUUCUGGAGAA
This 160-nucleotide ribosomal RNA is filed under the name Gloeophyllum sepiarium. RNAcentral's name for it is "partial 28S ribosomal RNA". It matches the Rfam family "Eukaryotic large subunit ribosomal RNA", at positions 1 to 157 of the family's 3401-position model. Lineage: Eukaryota; Fungi; Basidiomycota; Agaricomycetes; Gloeophyllales; Gloeophyllaceae. The record is from RNAcentral.